UUUAUCCGGGGAGAGAGUCGGACGUGGGAGACGCACGAAAUACCCACUCAACUGAGAAUUGCCUCCUUCACCGGUAAUAACCAACCAAAAAACUCACGAUCUUAACAUGAACGUGGGAAGUUAUCGGCGCUCAAUGGGCUCACCACGAUUUACCAACUAUAAAAGAGGCAAGAUGGAUGAUCAACCCAGAACAAGGAAAAAGAAGAAAAUCAAAUUCCUGCAAUUUCAAUUUGGUUCGGAAGAGCACUCAACUGAAUCGUGUUUAGAAGGAUUGGUGAGAAUCAGUGAGCAAUUAAGGUAUCAAAUUUGGACAGAGUUCUAAGGUUAUAUUAAUUGAUUUCUAGAAUCAGUUCAUAUCUUUAUUUUUCUUUAUGUGAUUGCAGCUAGAUGUGCAAUACCUUCAUGUUAAUGCAGCUAUUGAUUCCAGCAUAGGCCUUAACCCAGCCCCUCUUUUAGAGUUAUCAGCAACAAUUGGAAGUAAGGAUCUUAGGAAGGUUGAUGAAAUUGGAAUUCAAGUCCUUAUUAGAUUAACAGGACGGGUGAGCAAUUAAGGAAGAAUUGAUUGAAGCUGUGAGGAAUUAAGGAGCAUAUUGAACAAAGCUUUAAGUAAAGUUGAGAGUACGUUCAUAGGCAACGGUGAAGCAAACCACUGAAUUACUUAGCUCGGUGCGCGUAUACCCUACACAAAUCAAGUUGGGGCUUUGAUUGAUGUUGCAAAGGUAGCUGGGGAGUAGCUGAUUGCUGCAAAUCUAUGGGUAAGGACAUUUAAAAUCAUAAACUUUAUUGACGAAAUAAAGAAGAAUACAUCUACAAGUUUUAAGAGUUGUGAAGACUAUUGACAAACAAAGUGAGGUGGUUUGCUUCCAAAAAAAAGGACUGGUCUGAAGACAUAGUUGCUGAAUUAUGGUAUGCUUCCAGUGAAGUACGCAUUGGUUAAAUGGCUUCUUCAUCACGGUCUCUUCCGCCGCCACCUAAUGGAGAUCAGGGAAACACAAUGCUACAUGCAUUAGAGGCAGAAAGGCAUCGUAGGAAUGCCCGACAAAGAGAAAGGUGACUGUCAUUAAAUUCCUCACAACGAGCUGAGUGUUCAGCCCGAAGACGCGCCAAUUAUCAAAUGCGGCGAAAUAUGGAAAAUAUAAGUAACAAUGGAAAUCAAGUGGAAGCAAGGGAGGGAAGUAGUCUCGAUCCUAUUCAUCCAAACAAUAGGCCACGUAGUAGUGUUACUGCGCAAGCACAUGGUAGAGGUCGCGGACGCAGGCGCGGGUGCGGAACUCAUAAUUGUGCUAGAAAUUUUAAUGAGGCCAUCGGAGUCACAAAAUUUCAGUUGCCAGCAUCGACGACAUGUCCACAUUGUCAUGCCCGUUUGUUCUAUCACGAAAGUAGAGACAUGUGUUGCUCCAAUAGAAAGAUUGUCUUGCCUCCCAUACAUUCUCCUCCAGAUAUGAUCGAGCUAUUCUCCUCUGAAUCUCCACAAGGAGCCCAUUUUAGGCAAAACAUUCGAGCCUACAACCAUGUAUUUUCAUUCACAUCAAUGGGUGUGCAUGUCGAUGAAAGUCUUGCAACCGGGGGUGGUACUUUCACAUUUCGUGCUCAGGGAUCCAUAUAUCAUAAGAUAGGAAGUCUUCUACCAAAUGCCAAUGAUAGA
This is a long non-coding RNA of Rosa rugosa (rugosa rose), 1645 nucleotides long. RefSeq lists it as uncharacterized. NCBI's taxonomy places the organism in Eukaryota, Viridiplantae, Streptophyta, Magnoliopsida, Rosales, Rosaceae. The transcript has 10 exons. The record is from RefSeq and is a predicted model, not a curated record.